RNAcentral lists this long non-coding RNA (403 nucleotides) under Sorghum bicolor (sorghum). Its description in RNAcentral is "long non-coding RNA (SBIC_LNC013344)". Lineage: Eukaryota; Viridiplantae; Streptophyta; Magnoliopsida; Poales; Poaceae. The record is from RNAcentral.
UCGCCUAAGCCUCUUACAUUCCAUGACACAACGUGAAAAGAACGACAGUUCGAGUUCGAGUUCAUCUGAAACAGGUACAACACCCAGAGAAGGAAAAGAACCGGAAAGGAACUAGAAAAAUAAAGCGAAGACAGCUAAAGUAGAUGAAAGGUGCACUCUCGCAAAGCGCAGGCCAGCGACCGUUGGCGCGGGAGUGGAAGCCGCUGAAGAACCCUAACCGGGCGAAGCAGAUCAUUCCGUGUUCGCGGUCACCAGGCUACCCGUCCCAGCAGCAGCGCUGGGGGAGUCGAUCUUGGCGGCCGACACCAGCUUGCGCAGCUCGGACGCAUUCAUCGGCAGGCGGUUGCGCGACAGCAUGUUUCGCUUGUUGACAUGAUUCUUGAGAGACGUGGAGCAGGUGGAA